UUCUGCACGAGGAGAUCAAUGUGAGAAGUGUGGGAAGCUCUUAAAUCCCACCGAAUUGAAGGAUCCAAGAUGCAAGGUUUGCCGUAACACUCCAUGCAUCCGAGAUACAGAUCAUUUGUUUCUUGAGCUCCCUUUGCUGAAGGAUGAAUUAGAAGCAUACGUCAACGACCUGUCAGUGGCUGGAGGAUGGAGUCAGAAUGCUAUCCACACUACACAUGCUUGGCUUAGAGAAGGACUGAAGCCAAGGUGUAUAACUAGAGAUUUGAAAUGGGGGGUUCCAGUUCCACAUGAAAAAUAUAAGGACAAGGUUUUUUACGUGUGGUUUGAUGCUCCUAUUGGAUAUGUAUCUAUAACCUCAUGCUACACAACUGAGUGGGAGAAGUGGUGGAAGAAUCCAGAGAAUGUGGAGCUCUAUCAGUUUAUGGGCAAAGAUAAUGUGCCUUUUCACACUGUGAUUUUCCCAUCUACGCUUCUUGGAACUCGUGAAAACUGGACUCUUAUGAAGACAAUUAGUGUAACAGAAUACUUGAACUAUGAAGCAGGCAAAUUCUCAAAGAGCAAGGGCGUAGGAGUAUUUGGUAAUGAUGCAAAAGAGACAAACAUUCCUGUAGAAGUUUGGAGAUAUUACUUGCUAACAAACAGGCCGGAGGUGUCAGACACUUUGUUUAGUUGGGUGGAUUUACAAGCAAAGCUGAACAGCGAGUUGCUAAACAACUUAGGCAAUUUCGUCAAUAGAGUCCUGAGUUUCAUUGCAAAAGAUCCGGCUUCAGGUUAUGGUUCCAUAAUUCCCAAUCCAGAAGGAGCUGAAUCACACCCUUUAACUAAGGCCUUAGGUGAAAAAGUUGGAAAUUAUGUGGAAGAAUACAUAGAAGCCAUGGAGAAGGUUAAAUUAAAGCAGGGCUUGAAGAUUGCUAUGUCUAUUUCUGGAGAAGGAAACGGUUAUUUGCAAGAGAGCCAAUUCUGGAGACUUUACAAGGAAGAUAGGCCUUCUUGUUCCAUUGUGAUGAGCACUGCUUCCGGCCUAGUAUAUCUUCUUGCAUGUCUUUUAGAGCCAUUUAUGCCAUCCUUUUCACGGGAAGUGCUUAAGCAGCUUAACUUUCCUCCUGAAACAAAACCUUCACUGUCUGAUGACAGAGGUGACAUAGAAAAGAGCAAAAGACCAUGGAAUAUCCUACCUGCAGGUCACAAAAUUGGAAUACCAACACCAUUGUUCAAAGAACUGAAAGAUGAAGAAGUUGAAUUCUACAGAGAAAAGUUUGCUGGAAGUCAGGCAGAUAGGAAUUUGAAGGCUGAAACUGAGGCAAGGAAGAUCACUGAUCAGUUGCACAAAGCAAAAAUAUCAGAUGCUAAUAAGAAGAAAGAACGUGCUACAAAAUCUUCUGAAGCCAAAGCUAAGGGUUCAGCCUCUGUUGAAGCAGAAAUUUCGAUUAGCAGACUUGAUAUUCGUGUUGGUCUCAUUACAAGAGCACAGAAGCAUCCCGAUGCUGAUUCUUUGUAUGUUGAAGAGAUUGAUGUUGGUGAAGCUCAGCCCAGAACUGUCGUUAGUGGCCUCGUAAAAUAUAUUCCUCUGGAGGAAAUGCAGAAUCGAAAGGUCUGUGUUCUAUGCAACCUAAAACCAGCCAGCAUGAGGGGCAUAAAAUCCCAGGCAAUGGUUCUUGCUGCUUCUAAUAGUGAUCACACUAAGGUUGAACUAGUUGAGCCACCUAAAGAUGCUGCAAUUGGUGAACGAGUUAUGUUCCCUGGGUUAGAUGGCAAGGCGGAUGAUGUCUUGAAUCCUAAGAAGAAGGUUUGGGAAACUCUUCAGGUGGAUCUGCACACAAAUAAGGAGUUGGUUGCUUGCUAUAAAGAUUUGCCACUCACCACUUCUGUUGGUGUUUGCAAGGUCACAUCCAUUUCUGAAGGAUCGAUUAGGUAAAUUUUUUCUUUGGCGGAUGAACUAGAGAGGGGAUUUAAGGAUUUUGUUUUAAUUCUUUUCACAUUUUUCAUUUCUACACAAUGUUAUACAAUCAAACUUUCCACUAUGAUUGAGUGGAGUUGGAAGGGAAAUGAGUAUUUGAAGUGUUCUUGUCUCUUGCUAUGUGUCUG
Molecule: unclassified non-coding RNA, 2085 nt
Filed under: Hevea brasiliensis (rubber tree)
Lineage: Eukaryota; Viridiplantae; Streptophyta; Magnoliopsida; Malpighiales; Euphorbiaceae
Source: RNAcentral